RNAcentral lists this long non-coding RNA (372 nucleotides) under Ananas comosus (pineapple). RNAcentral's name for it is "long non-coding RNA (ACOM_LNC024765)". The record is from RNAcentral. Lineage: Eukaryota; Viridiplantae; Streptophyta; Magnoliopsida; Poales; Bromeliaceae.
AUUUUGUUUAUUUUUUUAAAUAUGAAUACAAAUACGAAUAUAUACGUUGAUCACUAAUUUUUUAUUUCGAUCGGAGUUUAUUUAUACUAUUUUUACCCGUAGUGCCCCAACUAUGACAUAAGCUUAGUUUGGUAUUGAGACUUAUCUAACGUUAUUAGAUAAAGUAGAGUUUAGAAAAAAAUAUAUAAAAAUAUUCUUGUGCAUUUUUCGAUGGGCCGUAAAAAAUAUAUCGUAACUGACUCAUCGUAAUAUGCGAAACGCCGUAUGAAAAGAAAUAGAAUAUUUUUUCAACGUAUAUUUUUACUGUACGUAACGCAAUCUCUCCGUAAUUCCAAACGAAGCCAUAGAAGCAGUCAAGCAGAUCAACUGUGG